RNAcentral lists this ribosomal RNA (420 nucleotides) under Salmonella enterica subsp. enterica serovar Dublin. RNAcentral describes it as "bacterial SSU rRNA". It matches the Rfam family "Bacterial small subunit ribosomal RNA", at positions 600 to 1019 of the family's 1533-position model. Lineage: Bacteria; Pseudomonadati; Pseudomonadota; Gammaproteobacteria; Enterobacterales; Enterobacteriaceae. The record is from RNAcentral.
UCCCCGGGCUCAACCUGGGAACUGCAUUCGAAACUGGCAGGCUUGAGUCUUGUAGAGGGGGGUAGAAUUCCAGGUGUAGCGGUGAAAUGCGUAGAGAUCUGGAGGAAUACCGGUGGCGAAGGCGGCCCCCUGGACAAAGACUGACGCUCAGGUGCGAAAGCGUGGGGAGCAAACAGGAUUAGAUACCCUGGUAGUCCACGCCGUAAACGAUGUCUACUUGGAGGUUGUGCCCUUGAGGCGUGGCUUCCGGAGCUAACGCGUUAAGUAGACCGCCUGGGGAGUACGGCCGCAAGGUUAAAACUCAAAUGAAUUGACGGGGGCCCGCACAAGCGGUGGAGCAUGUGGUUUAAUUCGAUGCAACGCGAAGAACCUUACCUGGUCUUGACAUCCACAGAAGAAUCCAGAGAUGGAUUUGUGCCU